RNAcentral lists this ribosomal RNA (762 nucleotides) under uncultured bacterium. RNAcentral describes it as "bacterial SSU rRNA". It matches the Rfam family "Bacterial small subunit ribosomal RNA", at positions 8 to 796 of the family's 1533-position model. The record is from RNAcentral.
AGAGUUUGAUCCUGGCUCAGGACUAACGCUGGCGGCGUGCCUAACACAUGCAAGUCGAACGGACGUAGCAAUACGUUAGUGGCAGACGGGUGAGUAACACGUAGAUAACGUACCCCUCCGCUGGGGAUAGCCACUGGAAACGGUGGGUAAAACCGAAUAGUCUCUAAUUCGGGCAUCUGAGUUAGAGUAAAACUUUGGUGUGGAGGGAUCAGUUUGCGACCUAUCAGCUAGUUGGUGAGGUAACGGCUCACCAAGGCUCCGACGGGUAACCGGUCUGAGAGGACGGUCGGUCACACUGGCACUGAGAUACGGGCCAGACUCCUACGGGAGGCAGCAGUGAGGGAUUUUGCACAAUGGAGGAAACUCUGAUGCAGCGACGCCGCGUGCGGGACGAAGCCUUUCGGGGUGUAAACCGCUGUCAGUGGGGAAGAGUAGGGACGGUACCCACUGAGGAAGCAUCGGCUAACUACGUGCCAGCAGCCGCGGUAAGACGUAGGGUGCGAGCGUUGUCCGGAAUCACUGGGCGUAAAGAGCUCGUAGGCGGGGUCGUGCGUCGUGGAGUAAAUUUCUCUGCUUAACGGAGGAGUCUUCUGCGAUACGGCGAUUCUUGAGGACAGGAGAGGAAAGUGGAAUUCCGAGUGUAGCGGUGAAAUGCGUAGAGAUUCGGAGGAACACCAGUGGCGAAGGCGACUUUCUGGCCUGAUUCUGACGCUGAGGAGCGAAAGCCAGGGUAGCGAACGGGAUUAGAUACCCCAGUAGUCC